Apodemus sylvaticus (European woodmouse) is the source of this 72-nucleotide small nucleolar RNA. RefSeq annotates it as small nucleolar RNA SNORD50. Lineage: Eukaryota; Metazoa; Chordata; Mammalia; Rodentia; Muridae. The transcript has a single exon. The record is from RefSeq and is a predicted model, not a curated record.
AGUCUAUGAUGAUUCUAUCCCGAACCUGAAUUCCUGUUGAAAAAGCACAAUUAUGGAUGCAUCUUCUGAGAC